UGCAAUGACCGGCGAUGACCUGUGGAUAGCGGUGAAAUUCCAAUCGAACCCGGAGAUAGCUGGUUCUCCCCGAAAUAGCUUUAGGGCUAGCGUCGCAGCGAGAGAGCCGUGAAGGUAGAGCACUGAAUAUGCGAUGGCCGCAUCCCGCGGUACUGAGCAUAAUCAAACUCCGAAUGUCACGGUGUCAUCUGCGGCAGUCAGACGGCGAGUGAUAAGGUCCGUCGUCAAGAGGGAAACAGCCCAGACCAUCAGCUAAGGUCCCAAAGUGCAUGCUAAGUGGAAAAGGAAGUGGAGACGUGCAGACAACUAGGAGGUUGGCUCAGAAGCAGCCAUCCUUCAAAGAGUGCGUAACAGCUCACUAGUCGAAUGACUCUGCGCCGAUAAUUUACCGGGGCUAAGCAUGACACCGAAGCUAUGGACAGGAAUGUGGUAGGGGAGCAUUGCAUGCAGCGGAGAAGCAUGACCGAGAGGGCAUGUGGAGCGCAUGGAAGAGAGAAUGCCGGCGUGAGUAGCGGCACGUGGGUGAGAAUCCCACGCACCGAUGGCCCAAGGUCUCCAGAGGAAGGCUCGUCCUCUCUGGGAUAGUCGGGACCUAAGGCGAGGCCGAAAGGCGUAGCCGAUGGACGACGGGUGGAUAUUCCCGUACCCGAUGUGUGGCGAUGGAGUGACGGAGAAGGCUCAGGCAACCAGCUGCUGGAAUAGCUGGGGCAAGCGAGAUACCUGCGCACCAGGGAAAUCCGGUGCGCGCAAGGGGAAGGCGCGAAGCAUACGGAAAGCUUCGGCAAGUACGGAAAAGCUGAGAGCAGGCUUCCAGGAAAAGCUUCUAGCACAACACGCAUCGGCCCGUACCGAAAAUGGACACACAUGGGCAAGGAGAGAAUCCUGAGGUGAGCGAGAGAACUAUAGCUAAGGAACUCUGCAAAAUGACCCCGUAACUUAGGGAGAAGGGGUGCUCCAGAAAUGGAGCCGCAGUAAAACGGCCCAAGCGACUGUUUACCAAAAACACAGCUCUCUGCGAAGGCGCAAGCCGAAGUAUAGGGGGUGACGCCUGCCCGGUGCUGGAAGGUCAAGGGGAGCUGUCAGCGCAAGCGAAGCAGCGAGCCGAAGCCCCAGUAAACGGCGGCCGUAACUAUAACGGUCCUAAGGUAGCGAAAUUCCUUGUCGGGCAAGUUCCGACCCGCACGAAAGGCGUAACGAUUUGGGCGCUGUCUCAGCUGUAGACUCGGUGAAGUCUUAGUACCUGUGAAGAUGCAGGUUGCCCGCGACUAGACGGAAAGACCCCAUGGAGCUUCACUGCAGGUUGACAUUGGGCUUGGAUGCAUGAUGUACAGGAUAGGUGGGAGGCUGUGAGCCGUGCGCGCCAGCGUACGGGGAGCCGCUGUUGGGAUACCACCCUUCAUGCAUCUAGGUCCUAACCGGAGGCAACGGGCCACGGGACAGUGUCAGUCGGGCAGUUUGACUGGGGCGGUCGCCUCCCAAAGAGUAACGGAGGCGCCCAAAGAUACCCUCAGCAUGGAUGGAAACCAUGCAUAGAGUGCAAAGGCAUAAGGGUGUCUGACUGCGAGACAUACAGGUCGAGCAGGGACGAAAGUCGGGCUUAGUGAUCCGGCGGAUCCGAAUGGAAGGGCCGUCGCUCAACGGAUAAAAGCUACCCUGGGGAUAACAGGCUGAUCCUACCCGAGAGUCCAUAUCGACGGUAGGGUUUGGCACCUCGAUGUCGGCUCAUCGCAUCCUGGGGCUGGAGAAGGUCCCAAGGGUUGGGCUGUUCGCCCAUUAAAGCGGUACGUGAGCUGGGUUCAGAACGUCGUGAGACAGUUCGGUCCCUAUCCACUGUAGGCGUUAGAAUAUUGAGAAGACCUGUCCUUAGUACGAGAGGACCGGGAUGGACAAACCUCUGAUGUACCAGUUGUCACGCCAGUGGCACAGCUGGGUAGUCACGUUUGGAAUAGAUAACCGCUGAAAGCAUCUAAGCGGGAAACUAACUUCAAGAUAAGUAUUCU
RNAcentral lists this ribosomal RNA (2000 nucleotides) under human gut metagenome. Its description in RNAcentral is "bacterial LSU rRNA". It matches the Rfam family "Bacterial large subunit ribosomal RNA", at positions 790 to 2814 of the family's 2925-position model. The record is from RNAcentral.